AGUGAACAGGGAACAGCUCAAGGUGUAAAUCUGUGCCAGAGAGGUACAGAGUUGUAACCUAGAGGCCUUUUAGGGAAGGCAUAUCUGUCACAUAAGUACCUUGAAAAAGGACGUCAAAGAGGGUAAAAACCCCGUAUUUGGCGACAGAUGGCUGUACCGAAGGGCUCCAAGAGUCGGGUUGUUUGGGACUGCAGCCCUAAAUGGGAGAUAAACUUCUUCUAAAGCUAAAUAUUUAUGGGAAACCGAUAGCAAACAAGUACUACGAAGGAAAGAUGAAAAGAACUUUGAAAAGAGGGUUAAAAGACUUGAAAUCGUUGAGAAGAAAAGCGGUAGAAGAGAAAUGAUGUUAGUAGAGCGUUUAAAGCGUAAACGAGGCUUCUGGGCAGCUAGGAACGUCAAAGGCCGGCUGUUCGUGAAAGUGUGCGUUUGGCCGAUUGCUCUACUAAUGUGCACGGUGGGGUCAGUGUCUAGGAAAAGUGCGUGUUCGGCUCCGGCUUCGGUUGGCAGCUCACGUAACAAACUAGACAGUGGCCUAAGGGAUCCAGAUGGAGAUCGUGCAAAAAAGGCUUCUACUGACCCGUCUUGAAACACGGACCAAGGAGUCUACCCAAUGUGCGAGUCUUAGGGUGGAAAAACCCGAAGGCGAAGCGAAAGCGAGUAUAAGGUGUGAACCGCAAGGGGCAACACCGGCCAACCUUGAUUCUCGAAUGAAGGGAUUGAGCAAGAGCAUAUUUGGUAGGACCCGAAAGAUGGUGAACUACGCUUGAGUAGGGUGAAGCCAGGGGAAACUCUGGUGGAGGCUCGUAGCGUUACUGACGUGCAAAUCGUUCGUCAAACUUGAGUGUAGGGGCGAAAGACUAAUCGAACCAUCUAGUAGCUGGUUCCCUCUGAAGUUUCUCUCAGGAUAGCAGGAACAAUAUCGCAGUUUUAUCAGGUAAAGCGAAUGAUUAGAGGAAUCGGAGAUCAAAGAUCUUUGACCUAUUCUCAAACUUUAAAUUGGUAAGAGCCUACAGUUUCUUAACUGAACUGUGGGGUAGAAUGCGUUGUUCCUAGUGGGCCGUUUUUGGUAAGCAGAACUGGCGAUGAGGGAUGAACCUAACGCUGAGAUAAGGUGCCAAAGUUCCCGCUCAUCAGAUACCAUAAAAGGUGUUGGUUCAUAUAGACAGCAGGACGGUGGCCCUGGAAGUCGGAAUCCGCUAAGGAGUGUGUAACAACUCACCUGCCGAAUGAACUAGCCCUGAAAAUUGAUGGCGCUGAAGCGGGAGACCGAUCCUCAGCCAUCGAAGCAAAUGUGAAGCUCCGAUGAGUAAGAGGGCGUGUGCGUUGUGCAGAAGCCUAUGACGUGAGUCUGGGUGGAACAACGUAUAGUGCAGAUCUUGGUGGUAGUAGCAAAUAUUCAAAUGAGAACUUUGAAGACCGAAGUGGAGAAGGGUUCCAUGAGAACAGCAAUUGGUCAUGGGUUACUCGAUCCUAAGACAUAGGGAAAUUCCUUGAUAAUACAAGAACCUUUACGGUUCGUUGUCAAAAGGGAAUGAGGUUAAUAUUCCUCAAGCUAUUGCGGGUUUUGUGUGGUAACACAAAUGAGCCCGGAGACAUCGGCAUGAACUCCUGGAAGAGUUAUCUUUUCUUUUUAACAGACUCUGGCCUUGAAAUUGGAUUAUCCAGAGAUAAGGCUAUAUGUCUGGCAGAGCAGCUCACUCUAAGAGCUGUCAGGUGCGUUCAUGACGAUCCUUGAAAAUCCGGGGGAGAGGUAAUUGCGCAAUAGAUCGUACCCAUAACCGCAUCA
Molecule: ribosomal RNA, 1786 nt
Filed under: Stokesia sp. WS-2014
Lineage: Eukaryota; Ciliophora; Oligohymenophorea; Peniculida; Stokesiidae
Description: LSU rRNA
Rfam family: Eukaryotic large subunit ribosomal RNA
Source: RNAcentral